Molecule: ribosomal RNA, 493 nt
Filed under: uncultured bacterium
Lineage: Bacteria
Description: partial 16S ribosomal RNA
Rfam family: Bacterial small subunit ribosomal RNA
Source: RNAcentral
GACGAACGCUGGCGGCGUGCUUAACACAUGCAAGUCGAACGCUGAAGCCCUUUCGGGGGUGGAUGAGUGGCGAACGGGUGAGUAACACGUGGGUAAUCUGCCCUGUACUUCGGGAUAAGCCUUGGAAACGGGGUCUAAUACCGGAUAGGACCUGUCCUCGCAUGGGGGUGGGUGGAAAGUUCCGGCGGUAUGGGAUGAGCCCGCGGCCUAUCAGCUUGUUGGUGAGGUAGGGGCCUACCAAGGCGACGACGGGUAGCUGGCCUGAGAGGGUGACCGGUCACACUGGGACUGAGACACGGCCCAGACUCCUACGGGAGGCAGCAGUGGGGAAUCUUGCGCAAUGGGCGAAAGCCUGACGCAGCAACGCCGCGUGGGGGAUGACGGCCUUCGGGUUGUAAACCUCUUUCGACAUCGACGAAGGGGCCCUGUUGUGGGGUUUUGACGGUAGGUGUAGAAGAAGCACCGGCUAACUACGUGCCAGCAGCCGCCGUAA